UGGAAUUCUUCUGAGGGAUUGAUGG
This 25-nucleotide non-coding RNA is filed under the name Mus musculus (house mouse). Lineage: Eukaryota; Metazoa; Chordata; Mammalia; Rodentia; Muridae. The record is from RNAcentral.